Mus pahari (shrew mouse) is the source of this 1664-nucleotide long non-coding RNA. RefSeq lists it as uncharacterized. The record is from RefSeq and is a predicted model, not a curated record. Lineage: Eukaryota; Metazoa; Chordata; Mammalia; Rodentia; Muridae. The transcript has 4 exons.
CAGAGCCAAGGAAGCGGCACAGGGACAGGCUGACGAUGUUGACCGUUCAUAUGGAUCAGUGUGUUUCCCGCCAGAACCAGAUGUAAAGACCCUUUCACUGAAAACUCCAUGUUCUUUGGCUUCAGGAAAGAGCAAAAUCAAGCAUCAAGCUGCAACUGACCUGGACCCUUCCUUCCUGGUGGCCAGCUUUCCUGAUGCUGGGAUGUGCUUUGCAGGUUCUGGGAGAGAAAACUCAUGAGCAGGCUUAAGUUAAUGUGCUACACGAGUGACCUGCUGAGCAAUGUGCUACUAGAGUGAUAGUUUUAUCACUGUCAAGGGAAUAGCCAGCUGCUUUGGAUUGUAUUUGAGGUCAGCUCCACUUGGAAUUCACAUUAGGUGCUAGGAAGCUGUUCAGUGACCCUUGGCUGGGAAGCCACUAGGCCCUGCUAUGGAAGGUUCUACUGUUUUGCUAAAUGAGCAAGUUGCACCCAGCAAAUUGCCUUCUAAAUAGUUAUGUCUAUGCCUACAUAUUAGUGGUGCUCUCAGCUUUGGUCACACAAACUUCUUUUUUCAGUUUGUGGCAGCUAUUGCAGCAGAGGCUCAGGGUCAAUGUGCUAAGAGUUGGUGGCUGUUGAAGACUCAGCACUGAAUAGGACAUCAAUAUCAUUCCAAGGCUCAGGGAACAUUGUGGAAGAUGGAGUGGAAAAAAAAAUCUAAGAGACAGUAGAGGUAGUGGGAACGGAUGGGACUCUGUCUUCAGGCAACAUCAUGUUCCUCCGCACACAUGAACUCAGAGCAACGUCUGCCCAAGUCUGGGUACCUCAACAUUGCAUCACAGUGUUUAUACCUGUGGCAUGAUCAAAGAGGCUUGGUAAUGAAGAAAUUCAUGGCUGGCCAAGGUGCUGAGAGCAAGUGACUGAUCAGUGCUCAUAGAAUAUUGUAGAAGGGAAUUGUGAGCACCAGACAAUGGUGGGAGAGGGGGCUGAGAUAUGCUGUCUUCAGGGAGGGGAAUGACACGAUUGUGGUUCGCAUGAAUUCAGAGCAGCUACAAUUACCUGAGCCUAUACAAGAUGGAGCUUAUAAAUCUUCAUUCUCUUAACUGUGUUUGCCACCAGAGCUGGAUGUGAAGCCCCUGUUGGCUGAGAACUCCACUGCUGUGGUUUUAAGGCAUAGAGAAAUCAAGGGGAAGCCAGCCGAGCUGGAAGCUUUCUCCCUGCUGGCUGAUCUGAUAGUGCCAGAGCAUGCUGUGAAUGAAGAUCCUGAGGGGGAAAAAGUCUUCACUGAGCUUACUCAGUUCCAGGCCCUCUGCCACAAUAACCACCUGCUAGGCAUUAUACUCACCGCCAAAGUGAAGGGAAAGUCACACAAAGAGUUCACACUGAGGCUCAGAGGAGCCAAUGAACAAGGACUUUCAGGCAAAUCUGGGACUGUAAAGACUUAUGAAGUCUUUUCAAGAGUGACUAGGUGCAUUGUACACUGAGAUGCAUAGGAGCCUGUAGAAACUAAGACAUUUGGAGCAGCAGGAGGCCAGUGAGACGAGAUUGGGAAUGUUAAAGCUAAGCCAUGUGAACCAAGCUCAUCCCAACAGCUCCCAAAGUGUCUGAAAGUAGAUCCUGGGUUCAUCAUUCUCGAUCCCGGCCUUGGAUCCAUUGCUACUAUGUGGAACUUUUCUGAAAACCGUAACC